CUGUGAGGAAGAAGUUAGCACUAGUGGUGGGGCGUCGCACAAAUUUGCACAAUUUUGAUGUUUAUUGUUUCCUCUUUUGUAUGGAGAUUGGCACGGUGGCGUGUAGGAGUGUUGGUACGGGCAGCAACUGUUUGAUGUAUUGCAUGAAUGAAACCAAAGGUGUUACUAUAAGUAGGAGGGGCUGGCUCUGUUGGGAAUUCACUCACUGGAAAAAAUCGAGGAAACCCUAAUUGACCUCUGCAGCAGCUGGUUUUCAGGUCUGAUCUUGAUCGGAAAAAAUUAUGUGUGUUUUGGGGCGAAAGAGGGGGGGAAGAGAAUGGACUAUUUGACAGAAGAGAGCGGGCACACGCAGGCAAUUGUAUAGAGAGUUAUACCUUUGUCGAUGCGUGUGCUCACUUCUAUUCUGUCAGCUUCUCUCUCCACCGCCUCUCUCUCCCCCUUCUUCCACCCUUCACACACACAUCAUUUGCCCUAUCUUAUACACCUGCCCAAGACACAUCACCCUUUGCGAUCAAUGUACAUCAUCAAAAUGACGAACCCCAGUUUGUGCUCAUCUUCUUUUUCGGGAGUUGUGAUUAUAUGGUUUAAUUUCUUUUUUUCUGUUUCGGUAUAUUUAAUCUAUAGGGUCAUAUAGAUAAGUAUUGGUUUUUAUUGCGCUUUUCUCAGUAUUUAUCAUAGUUAAACAGUGAUUUCCUGAUUCAAAUCCACUUUUGAGUGCGAGGAUCGUUUGUUUCUAUCUUGUUCUUGCUGGAAUAAAGAUAUUAAUUCGGUUAUAUUUUAUGUGAUUAACCAUCUUGUUUGUGUUUCUUUGUUGGAUUUGGCUGUGAUAAGAGUGAGAAUCAUGGAGUUCGUUGUCCUUAAUUAUGUUUUCAGAUUUAGGCCUAUGUGUUAAUUGAUUCUCGUGAUUAGUUCCGGAUCCUCAGGUAUGUAGUUUCUUGAUAUCACUUUUUUAUAUAUGAUUUAUUGGAACUCGACUUGAGAUAUUUUGUUACUAUGGGUUAGCUCUGGGAUUGUGUCCAUUAGCUUGUGAGUUUCUGAGCAUAUAGUCGACCUUGUUUGCUGUUAAUCUUUGAUAGUGGCUAAGCUAUGUCAAAUACUUAAAAUCUAUGCCUUAAAAAACUUAAAUUGGAGAUCUUUACUUCUUACUAUUUGAAUUCUCGUUCUCUUCUUGAAUUGACAUCAGAAGAGAUUGAUGUAUUCAUUAAUAUAGUUCUGAAAACUUUAAGCAUGACAGUCAAAACCAUCCUGAUUGCCUCAAAAAUGAAUUUCUCAAUUUGGACAUAGACAUAGCAUUCGAUGACUGUGCCUUUGUUUGUACAACCAUCUAGAAAUGAGAUGAACUUAUGAGAUUAGUAAACUAAUAUAACAUGAAUGUUUUCCAAAAUACAAAUGAAACUCCAACUCUUAGGAACUUCAAUCAAUACUUUGUUGGCUCAACUCAAUUGUAGAAAUUUGAGUGCAAUGCCAACUUUAACCAUUAAAACUAUUCUAGUUAGUAUUUAAGUAUUCCCUCCGUCCCACGUUACUUGAGGCAUUUCUUUUCGUCACGAUAUUUAAAAAAGUUGUGUUUAGUGAGUUAAAUAAGUAAGAGAGGGAAGAGAGUGUGAAGUAAAGGAAUGAAUAAAGUAAGUGUGAUUAGAUUUUUGUUUUUAGCUAAAAAGAGAAAUGGCUCAAAUAACUUGAGAUAACCCAAAAUGGAAUACGACUCAAGUAACUUGGGACAGGGGGGUAGUAAGUAGUUCCACUUCGCUACGGUGCUUUCCAAAAAGAAAAGAUUGGGGGGGGGGGACUAGACGACUAUUAAGGAUACUGUCUAUGAUAUUGCUUUAGUGAUAGCAAAUUUCAAAACAUUGUCCUACUCAAAAGUUUGUAUUAUAUCAAUUGUUAUGUAUGUUCAUUAAAAUGGAGAAAUAGGUAUGCACCAUCCUAUUGAUUAGUGUAAUAUUAUUUCUGCAAUUCUUUGGUUUUACUCUUAUUAAUAUUAAUAUAUGUAAACAUGGUAACUACUUAUAAAGGGUUUCCUUACUGAAAAAUAAAAUUAGAUUCGUUGAAGAAAUAAGGAAGAAAUAGUACUGUUUAGGGAUUUUAUUCAUACAAAAUUUGCUCGAAUGUGAUGUUGAAAUUGUGUGCUAGCUCUAGUCUUGCCUUGAUAUUGCCACUAAAACAGGAUUUGUAUCUUUUUGGUUUUAUUUGUCUACCAAAGCAUGGUCAUAGAUAAUAGUCAGUCUCUCAAAACUUGCAGAUGACUAUUGAAUCUAAUUGAUGAAAAGUAUUCAAACUUGUUUUUGAUAUGGUGACUGCUCAUGAUAUUUACCAGUAAUAACAGCUAAUUUAGGUUUUGAAGGCUUGAUGAAAUCUUGAAAGCCCAUGUGUGAUGACGAUCUCUUAGUUUAUUAUCAACUUGUGCUCACUUCUAUUCUGUCAGCUUCUCUCUCCACCGCCUCUCUCUCCCCCUUCUUCCACCCUUCACACACACAUCAUUUGCCCUAUCUUAUACACCUGCCCAAGACACAUCACCCUUUGCGAUCAAUGUACAUCAUCAAAAUGACGAACCCCAGUUUGUGCUCAUCUUCUUUUUCGGGAGUUGUGAUUAUAUGGUUUAAUUUCUUUUUUUCUGUUUCGGUAUAUUUAAUCUAUAGGGUCAUAUAGAUAAGUAUUGGUUUUUAUUGCGCUUUUCUCAGUAUUUAUCAUAGUUAAACAGUGAUUUCCUGAUUCAAAUCCACUUUUGAGUGCGAGGAUCGUUUGUUUCUAUCUUGUUCUUGCUGGAAUAAAGAUAUUAAUUCGGUUAUAUUUUAUGUGAUUAACCAUCUUGUUUGUGUUUCUUUGUUGGAUUUGGCUGUGAUAAGAGUGAGAAUCAUGGAGUUCGUUGUCCUUAAUUAUGUUUUCAGAUUUAGGCCUAUGUGUUAAUUGAUUCUCGUGAUUAGUUCCGGAUCCUCAGGUAUGUAGUUUCUUGAUAUCACUUUUUUAUAUAUGAUUUAUUGGAACUCGACUUGAGAUAUUUUGUUACUAUGGGUUAGCUCUGGGAUUGUGUCCAUUAGCUUGUGAGUUUCUGAGCAUAUAGUCGACCUUGUUUGCUGUUAAUCUUUGAUAGUGGCUAAGCUAUGUCAAAUACUUAAAAUCUAUGCCUUAAAAAACUUAAAUUGGAGAUCUUUACUUCUUACUAUUUGAAUUCUCGUUCUCUUCUUGAAUUGACAUCAGAAGAGAUUGAUGUAUUCAUUAAUAUAGUUCUGAAAACUUUAAGCAUGACAGUCAAAACCAUCCUGAUUGCCUCAAAAAUGAAUUUCUCAAUUUGGACAUAGACAUAGCAUUCGAUGACUGUGCCUUUGUUUGUACAACCAUCUAGAAAUGAGAUGAACUUAUGAGAUUAGUAAACUAAUAUAACAUGAAUGUUUUCCAAAAUACAAAUGAAACUCCAACUCUUAGGAACUUCAAUCAAUACUUUGUUGGCUCAACUCAAUUGUAGAAAUUUGAGUGCAAUGCCAACUUUAACCAUUAAAACUAUUCUAGUUAGUAUUUAAGUAUUCCCUCCGUCCCACGUUACUUGAGGCAUUUCUUUUCGUCACGAGAUUUAAAAAAGUUGUGUUUAGUGAGUUAAAUAAGUAAGAGAGGGAAGAGAGUGUGAAGUAAAGGAAUGAAUAAAGUAAGUGUGAUUAGAUUUUUGUUUUUAGCUAAAAAGAGAAAUGGCUCAAAUAACUUGAGAUAACCCAAAAUGGAAUACGACUCAAGUAACUUGGGACAGGGGGGUAGUAAGUAGUUCCACUUCGCUACGGUGCUUUCCAAAAAGAAAAGAUUGGGGGGGGGGGACUAGACGACUAUUAAGGAUACUGUCUAUGAUAUUGCUUUAGUGAUAGCAAAUUUCAAAACAUUGUCCUACUCAAAAGUUUGUAUUAUAUCAAUUGUUAUGUAUGUUCAUUAAAAUGGAGAAAUAGGUAUGCACCAUCCUAUUGAUUAGUGUAAUAUUAUUUCUGCAAUUCUUUGGUUUUACUCUUAUUAAUAUUAAUAUAUGUAAACAUGGUAACUACUUAUAAAGGGUUUCCUUACUGAAAAAUAAAAUUAGAUUCGUUGAAGAAAUAAGGAAGAAAUAGUACUGUUUAGGGAUUUUAUUCAUACAAAAUUUGCUCGAAUGUGAUGUUGAAAUUGUGUGCUAGCUCUAGUCUUGCCUUGAUAUUGCCACUAAAACAGGAUUUGUAUCUUUUUGGUUUUAUUUGUCUACCAAAGCAUGGUCAUAGAUAAUAGUCAGUCUCUCAAAACUUGCAGAUGACUAUUGAAUCUAAUUGAUGAAAAGUAUUCAAACUUGUUUUUGAUAUGGUGACUGCUCAUGAUAUUUACCAGUAAUAACAGCUAAUUUAGGUUUUGAAGGCUUGAUGAAAUCUUGAAAGCCCAUGUGUGAUGACGAUCUCUUAGUUUAUUAUCAACUGAAUGAUACCAUAUGCCAUAUGUGUGAUGGUUGAGCAGUCCAAUGACUUCAUAUUAAGUUGAUUGUUCUGGUAAAAGCCCUUGCAAAUAUAUUUCAAAAUGGGGGUGAUAAUAUUCAAAUCCAUUAUAUCAUCAUGACUUCAGGCAAUAAAUUUGUAUAAUAUAGAUUCGAGUUUAACAAUUGACAAGAAUAUAGGCUCCACUAUCAGUUUAAAAUUUUUUAUUUAAUACUCUGUGUGCAACAUGUUAUAUGUGUUUAGUUCGCACUGAUUCGAUAGACCAUAUGUUGGUGAGCCUUGACUAUUAUCUAAUUUUCUGGCCUGGAACCUGCUAUUAUCAUUAUAAGUAACUUUGGUAUUGUUACAAGUUUCAGUUUUCCCCUAACAUCAUAUUAGCUUUUCUCCUUGAUUUGUAAGGGAUCUCAUCCACGAACUGCCUAAGGCCGAUGAAGAUCUCAUAUCAGGUUAUGGACUGGAAAAGAUGGAUGAGUGAGGUAUAUGUAUGUGUGUUUCUUAAUAUUCAAAUUCAAGUGCAUUCCUUUUUCAAUAUGAGAAGUAUCCAUGCACCGUAGACCUACUCUGUGGAUAUCCUGACACAUAACUGUAUCUGAUGUGAUGAGCAUGCUAGCUGCACCUGGUAGAUUCAUAAUUUACGAAUAUUAUUUGUUUCGGUAGAUUUACUGACGAGAACAAUUUAUUGCCCUGGCUAAAUGCUAACACAAUUGUUAACCAUGAAACAAGGAAUGUGUCGAAAUGCCCUUUCAAGCCCUCUAAUUACUUGAAGUCUUCCUAGAUGUUGAAUUAAGGUGAUCAUGAAAUAUUCUGUAUAAAAGAUGGAAAGAUCCUACAACAUUCAUUGCAUUGUGCACUUGAUUAGUGUAUAUGCGGUCAUGGACGUUGCAAUGAUUUCAAUAUGAGCUUUCCAUUUACCAUAAGAUGUUUUGUUAGAAACCAAUAUGAGCUUUCCAUUUCAUCCCAUUUUUUCGUCAUCCUUACUUAUUGAGUAUUACCCUCUAAUAUUAUUCUUAAAUGGCCAGUGUUUUAUGACUGUCUAUGUUAAAUUCUAGAGAUAAACUUUCUCAGUUGCUCAUCUUUUCAAGUAGGUAUCAAUUGAACUUAGUUCUAAACAAUGUGAAAUUAACCCAUGGUGUCCUAUGAAAUGGACUUCACUUUUCUUGGAGCGGAUCUUUUUGAGAUCUUUAUACUUUUAUGAAUCGAAAAGGAUCAGUUUAACCCAUGAUGUCCUUCGAAAUGGACUUAAGAAGUUCAUCAUAAGUUAGAUGUAUUUAGUUUUAUUGUCAGGAUAACAAUUUCUGGUGAAACUUUAUAUUGAGGUUCAUAAAGAACAAGUAAAAAACAGGAAAACAGGAGAGAAAAUUAAUGUCUAGUCCGGCUUUGGCAUCACAUAAUUAUUCUUGCAAUAGCAAGAACUUUGUUGCCUCGUAUAUACUCUCCAAUGUUAAUAAAACUUUUUUCUUAUGAAUUUAUAACAGAAACCUGAAACUAGUUCUUAAGAGAGAUAGUGAAAACCAGGUUUAGUUAAGAAAGAUAAACAAGUUUAUACAUGUAUUUGUCAUUUUGAGUGUUGAUGUAGAACAAAAGGUGGAGAAAGAGUUGAAUCUAGGUUUCUUAAGGGGGAUAGUUAAAACGGUACUGUAGAUGGGGCUACAAAUAUACAGGAAAAAGCAAUAUUAACUGAGAAUUAUGUGUACCAAUAAAGUUUGUUAACUAAAGAAGGUUAGCUGCCCUGACUUUAUAACUUAUCAGCAUCCUACUGCCCACAUUAUUACUACGAAAUUAAAAUUCUUAUGUUGCUUUUCGUUUGGUAAACUGGUCUCAGUUAGACAUAGAUGCUAUCCCUCUGUAACUUUGGCACGUGGCUUAGAGUAUCCACAAAGGUGGAUGUUUAUCAUGUCCACGCGGGACGAGAUGGGGAAGGAACCCACUCGGGUGGGUUGGCAAGACUGGCGUUACUCUUUCAAGCAAAAAGUUAAGUGACAGCGCCCAUUGAUUUCUGAUAUCUUUAUUAGAUUUUCGACAUUUAAAAUCACAAAUUUAAUGGUUGGCCUAGUGGUGGGAGUGGCUUUAUGGUGUUGAAGUCGCCACCCUCAUUUCUUAAUUCUGCUUAAUUUUUUUGUUUUAUUUUGGUUUUCUUUUUAUUUUUUUGUUGUUUGCUUCACCUUUUUCUUAUUUUUUAUUUCAUUAAAUCAUUUUUCAUUUCCUUUUAAUUAAUUGGUAUCAGAAUUGAAGAUUGUUUUAUUUUCUUUGAUGCAAAUGUACUCCAUAUAGAUUAAGUUUUUUGUUGUUUUCUUCACCUUUUUCUUAUUUUUUAUUUCAUUAAAUCAUUUUUCAUUUCCUUUUAAUUAAUUGGGAUCAGAAUUGAAGUUUGUUUUAUUUUCUUUGAUGCAAAUGUACUCCAUAUAGAUUAAGUUUAAGUAGUAAUUUUUUGGCUUUAUUAGGAUUUUAAUUAUGUAAUUUUCAGCUUAAUUAGAAUUUUAGUUAUGUAAUUUUUAUUUUUUUAAUGAAUAUCAUAUUUUAUUUAAAUUGAAAAAUUAAUUUAAUUAGAUAACAUAAUAAAUUGAAAUAAGUAAUGGAUAUAAAAUAAAAAAGAUGGUACCCAGGCCAUGAGUAGUUAAAGAAAUUGAUGAUGAUGAUGAUGGGUUGUGGGUGUUGUUUCUUAAAUAUGAAAUGGGGUAAAAAAAGUGUUGUGGGAAGGAACAAUAUUAGUGACAACAUUUUGCAUGACCUUACAAGUAGAAUUUAUUUAGGGUACAAUAAGACUCCUUUUAAAUCAAAAAUUGCACAUUUCAAUUCCACAUGUCUUUGAAUGAAUUUUGAUAGACCCUCUAACUCUCUAACAUUGUACCCUAUGCUAUUCUUUCCUUAUGUAGGUGCACUUCUAGUCUCAUGCAAUGAUUGUAUAACUAAUCUAGGGAAAAAAGUUGAAACUUGUCUCAGAAUAGGCUUGAGACCUUGUUCACACGUGAGUAUUCCCUGUGGAUGAUUGUGAUUGACAUUUUAUGUGAACUAAUAUAUAAUUUCAUUUGAAUAGAUGUUAUUUUUCAGGUUAUAAACUUCACUGGGACUUGAUUUAUACAUUGGAAAGAAGUAGAGUAUUGAGAAAUAUAAUUUCUAUUACUCAAACGUCAAAACUAUACUCCGUAAGAAAUCAUCCAUGAUUGGGAACAAUGAUGAUCACAAUGUACUGAAUUAAAAGGUAUCUGCAAAUUCAUUAGCACCUUAAAUUAUUCUAUAAGAUGUUUAAGUUGUUAUAACCUUAAAAGUUCCAUGCUUUAGAAAAUAAGUUUUGAACUCUCAAAAACAGAUGCAAGGAGCUUAUUAAUUAUCUUCUUAAGAUAAAAAUACAUACUCAAUAAGAUAUUACACUUUAUUUUUGGGAAGUUGAUGCAGUCUUAGUUCAUUUGAACAUUGUGACUUAUUUGUAUAAUCUACUGGUAUAAGUUUUAAAGAAAACUCGAUUAAAAAAUUAUGUGACAACAAAACACCUGGUUGCUUUUGUUACAAAAGCCCAAGUUACAAAUGUGAAGGAGGGAAUGUCAGCUAGUUAUUCGGGGAAAGUUGCCAGUUAUUCGGGGAAAGUUGCUUGUCUGGAACUUGCUAGUGCUACGUAGCUGAUAUAACACCUAGCAAAUGGAGACUGACUUAGUGGCUAUUGAAAGUUCAAAUUAUUUAUCCUUUAUGCAAGUUAUGCUCUAGUUUAUUAGAUUGGAUGUCUUUAUUUAUUUUUAUAUUUUACUUGUGGAUUCACCUUACAUAUGGGUUACAGGAGACAUAAUAAGAAUGGAAUUCUAAGCCUAAUGGCAUGUAUUGAAUUGCUUGCCUACCUUAUGCUUUCCCCCUUCAUGGUUUGUAUUGAAAGGUAAUAGAGGAUGUCCGUUUUCGGUCUGUUGUAGAAACUCAGUUAACCAUGAUUCUAAUCAAUAUAACCCUGCCCAUCUUGUGAAUAAUAUGCAUGGUUUUGAAUUUGAGACUUUGAGGUAGGGUUUUCUAAUCAAGGGUGGCAAUCCCUUGUUCCAAGAACGUUAUUUGGCGAUGAAAUGUUUCAAUUGUAAACAAAUAAUUUGAGGACAUUUUUGUAUCUUGGUUUAUAUUCAUAUACACCUGGCAUUACAUGAUGAAAUCUUCUUUAAACUUCAUUUUUCUCUUGGGCGAUAGUUGUGUAAAGAUCAUAUAGUCGAUGUUGUUUUAUUAAGUAUAGGAAAGCUCUACCCGUUCUUACUAAUGUUGUUUUAUUACAGUAUAGGAAAGCUCUACCCGUUCUAACUAAUAUGCUUAUUUGGUUUGGUUUUUGUCCAUAUAAAUUCCAAAAUCAUUCACGAGUUGUCUUGUUUCAAAGUGCAUGGCUUUUGUUUUGAAUAUUUGAACAAGGGUUCUUUGUUUUGAUAUGUGCAUAAUAUACAAGAAAUCAGAACCAUAUCUAGAAUUACAUUCACAUGUCGAAGCUUACAUCUGUGAUACAAGGCAAGUUUAUGUUCACAGGAAUAAUUCCUCAACUGUCAUAAGCAUGUUCCUAGUUAUUUCAGUUUGUUUGGCUGGACAUGGCCGCCAACAACGGCAUAAUGUAGUGAAUUUCUUUCAUACCUUGCCUUUAGCUACAUAGCUCUCUACUCUCCAUUACUAUGAACUUCAUGCAUGUAUCAAGUUGAGUCACGACUAUACUUGUAGCAAACUUGAAAUGUUAUGAAUCUAUUGGGGAUGCAAUUGUUGCAAUCUUUGUUCAUUAGAAGUUUUGUUUUGAGUAGUUGUAAUCCUAUGUAUCUAUUUGUAGUACAGUACUUAAGUUUCUUUUAACAAGAUAUAUUAAUGUUGUCCAAAGAUUCAUUCUCAUA
Long non-coding RNA from Salvia splendens (bonfire salvia), 9265 nucleotides. RefSeq lists it as uncharacterized. Lineage: Eukaryota; Viridiplantae; Streptophyta; Magnoliopsida; Lamiales; Lamiaceae. The record is from RefSeq and is a predicted model, not a curated record. The transcript has 3 exons.